GAGAGCCAGGAAGAGAGAGCUUUGCCGGACUUGUGGACCAAGAUGCAAACGAUGCAAAAGCCAGGAUUCCAACGGAGUGUCCCGGUUGGUGGCAGUUGAGCUGACAGGGGGAGGGGCUGCUGGUCUCUGUGUCUCUGAUUGGAGGUUUGAAGCUGGCUGAAAGGACCUUAUGUUGGGGUCCGAGUGGAAGACCACCCCAAGGAGCACACGGAGACCAUGCAGUUCAGGCAAGGGGAAGUUUAUUCCUGGCAGCGCUGGGGGAGCCCAAGCAAGGGGUUCCGAAGAGGCAGAGGCAGUGGAGUUUAUAUUGGCUAAAGCAGUCAGAGUCGAGUCACUUGGGGGGGACACCUGGAACAUUCUGUUAAUGAUGUUGGCUGUUUAGCAUAACAGAACGGAAUGAUUGGAGAUCAGUGGCACUAAUGAUCCGAGCCUCAUCAGGAGAUGGAGAUGUACAGGAACAGUUAUGGAGCACGUACAAAGGGCCAGCAUCAAGCUGCUGCUUCCAAAGCAAAACGGUACGGAUUGCCAUUCGCUCUGUUUUGAAGCUUGCCAGGCCACAGUAACCACAUGUUGGCUUUGCUUCAGGCCAGUUGCCGCAUGGACUUCCUGCCAAAUAUGGCCCAAUUACCUCGGAAAAACCUUCUCCCGUUUCUCCUUUCGUUCUAAUUGCAUUUGUGAGCCAAAAUAUGUCCGCGAUUGUGACAGAAAAACUUAAAGGGCACGUGAGAGAUUGGGCCCUUGCCCAGGGAAAUGUAAAGCUGGACGUUUUGGAACACAAUUAAGCGUGAUAAGGAAUCGGGACGCUCAAACUCCAAAGACUGUCUAGUCUGUCCACAAAAGGCCUCACUCCCCUCCUUAAUCUUUCUUCAAUUUGCCUUUCCUCAAACGCUGGCAUUCCAGAUAAAUAAAGCAUCUUAUUCACUUCA
RNAcentral lists this long non-coding RNA (926 nucleotides) under Monodelphis domestica (gray short-tailed opossum). RNAcentral describes it as "lncRNA (ENSMODG00000029858.2)". The record is from RNAcentral. Lineage: Eukaryota; Metazoa; Chordata; Mammalia; Didelphimorphia; Didelphidae.